RNAcentral lists this ribosomal RNA (429 nucleotides) under Pseudomonadota bacterium. Its description in RNAcentral is "Proteobacteria bacterium partial 16S ribosomal RNA". It matches the Rfam family "Bacterial small subunit ribosomal RNA", at positions 355 to 776 of the family's 1533-position model. The record is from RNAcentral. Lineage: Bacteria; Pseudomonadati; Pseudomonadota.
UGGGGAAUAUUGGACAAUGGGCGAAAGCCUGAUCCAGCCAUGCCGCGUGUGUUAAGAAGGUCUUCGGAUUGUAAAGCACUUUAAGUUGGGAGGAAGGGCAGUAAGCGAAUACCUUGCUGUUUUGACGUUACCGACAGAAUAAGCACCGGCUAACUCUGUGCCAGCAGCCGCGGUAAUACAGAGGGUGCAAGCGUUAAUCGGAAUUACUGGGCGUAAAGCGCGCGUAGGUGGUUCGUUAAGUUGAAUGUGAAAGCCCCGGGCUCAACCUGGGAACUGCAUCCAAAACUGGCGAGCUAGAGUAGGGCAGAGGGUGGUGGGAUUUCCUGUGUAGCGGUGAAAUGCGUGGAUAUAGGAAGGAACACCAGUGGCGAGGGCGACCACCUGGGCUCAUACUGACACUGAGGUGCGAAAGCGUGGGGAGCAAACAGG